Molecule: long non-coding RNA, 1619 nt
Organism: Arabidopsis lyrata subsp. lyrata
Lineage: Eukaryota; Viridiplantae; Streptophyta; Magnoliopsida; Brassicales; Brassicaceae
Exons: 2
Source: RefSeq, a predicted model, not a curated record
ACAAAUACAAAUUCGGAUAUGGAUUAAAUGUUUGUUUAUGUUUUGGUCAUAUAUAUAGUGUUACGAUUUUUAGUGUGUAAAAUAGUAAGUUUGUAGUCUUCACGAUUUUCUUUGAAUAUAUUAAAUAGUAAGUUUUUAGUUUUUUCAAUAUUACAAUCAUGUGUAAUUUUUUUCUUUCCCGCGGCUAUCACCUAGUUUUCAUUAAAAAAAUAAUACAGAACACUAAUGCAAGAAAUUAAUUACUGUAUUUAUUUCCCGAUUUAAAAAGUAUAUAUUUGCCGUGAUCACUAAUGCGACGUCGUUUUUACCACUUCGUCGCCUCUUCCUUUGUUCACCGUGACUCGUCCAGUGACUCGGUUGGUGCUUUGUAUCGAUUGACUCGUUCACCUGCCUGUGGUCUCGAGCGCCUCCAUCCCAUCGACUCACCACCACAGCCGCUCUAACCAAUCCACCAACUCUCUACACUGGCGGAUCCGAUGGGUCAAUCAUUUGGUGGAGCAUCUCGUCGUCGUCCGAGUUCAAUUCGGGAAUGGACUUACAUCAGAUUGUUCGGAUACUGGUAAUGCGGAUCCAUUUGUUAACUGUUGUGCAUUGGUCAGUGCUUGUACUGAUGCUGUACUGUGUGUAUAGAGUAGCAGUAGUGGGCAUUGUAGAAAGUCCGACGAUACGUUUGGUUUGGGUGUUCUCAUAUCGAUACCUAAUCUGUUGACAGAAAACUGUUAAGGUUCACUGUGGUUCUCUUAGUAAUGGAAAAGAACUUAAGCAAAUUUCUUGGAGAAGGUUCCUAUUUUGCUGAUUGGAUUUCAAGCUCUUGUUUAGAUCCCAAGGGCUUUGGUUGGUGCAGAAACUGGUAUUUCUCAUUCAGGAAUGCAGUACAGAUUAUGAUCUACAAGACUACAAAGCUUUCUUAGUGACAGUAGACAGUGUGUGUCAUCCGUCCAUGGCUAUUUCUGAGAAAAUGAUUCUCCUGCUUCAAGCCCGAGAUCAGACAGUUCGAACAGAACGACAAUGGAACACUUGCUCUCUAUCUGUUGCAGGAUGAUUCAUGUGUUGUUGCUCUUUCUUCUCUUGAGACUUUGCGGGUCGAAAUCAUGUUUCCUGGGCACCCAAACUAUCCUACAAAAGUGGUUUGAGAUGGUACAAGAGGCCACAUUGCAUGUCUUUCCGGCUCCCUUUUGAGAAUAUCAGAUCCAAUUGAUGUCUUGUACAUUUGGGAUAUGAAGAGAGGUUCUCGAGAACGUGUCCUCCAUGGGGCAGCUUCACAUUCGAUGUUUGAUCAUUUCUGUGCAGGCAUUAGUGAAAAAUCGUACUCAGGCACUCUGUUCAAUUGGAAAUACAUCAUUUUCCUCUUUGCUUUCCAGUAGGUGAAACCAUUUUAUUUGAAGAACUACGAGCGGGCAGCUUUGUCAACGUUUAAGCCAAGUGCUUAGCAGGAAAAGACUAGAGAAGAUUGUACCCAGCCAACGCCAGUUCUCUACUAAGUUCUCUGAUACUGCAAAAUACAACUUCUCUAUUAGUUCAGUAAUUGUAAACAUCCUACAGAAAUUUGUACACAGCCAACAUCAGUUCGUCAAAUUUCCCUUGUGGCUUACCAAAUAAAAAUAGUUUUUUUUUUUUUU